GCCGAGGACUCCUACGGGAGGCAGCAGUGGGGAAUAUUGCACAAUGGGCGCAAGCCUGAUGCAGCCAUGCCGCGUGUAUGAAGAAGGCCUUCGGGUUGUAAAGUACUUUCAGCAGUGAGGAAGGUGGGUAUGUUAAUAGCAUAUUCAUUUGACGUUAGCUGCAGAAGAAGCACCGGCUAACUCCGUGCCAGCAGCCGCGGUAAUACGGAGGGUGCGAGCGUUAAUCGGAAUUACUGGGCGUAAAGCGCAUGCAGGUGGUUUGUUAAGUCAGAUGUGAAAGCCCGGGGCUCAACCUCGGAAUUGCAUUUGAAACUGGCAAACUAGAGUACUGUAGAGGGGGUAGAAUUUCAGGUGUAGCGGUGAAAAUGCGUAGAGAUCUGAAGGAAUACCGGUGGCGAAGGCGGCCCCCUGGACAGAUACUGACACUCAGAUGCGAAAGCGUGGGGAGCAAACAGGAUUAGAUACCCUGGUAG
This 473-nucleotide ribosomal RNA is filed under the name uncultured bacterium. RNAcentral's name for it is "bacterial SSU rRNA". It matches the Rfam family "Bacterial small subunit ribosomal RNA", at positions 328 to 793 of the family's 1533-position model. The record is from RNAcentral.